This is a non-coding RNA of Podarcis lilfordi (Lilford's wall lizard), 72 nucleotides long. The record is from the annotation of a GenBank genome assembly. NCBI's taxonomy places the organism in Eukaryota, Metazoa, Chordata, Lepidosauria, Squamata, Lacertidae.
GGGGCUGUAGCUCAGAGGUAGAGCAUCUCCUUUGCAUGUGGAAGGUCCCACGUUUAAUCCCUGCUGGCAUCU